RNAcentral lists this ribosomal RNA (253 nucleotides) under uncultured bacterium. Its description in RNAcentral is "partial 16S ribosomal RNA". It matches the Rfam family "Bacterial small subunit ribosomal RNA", at positions 524 to 776 of the family's 1533-position model. The record is from RNAcentral.
UACGUAGGGUGCGAGCGUUAAUCGGAAUUACUGGGCGUAAAGCGUGCGCAGGCGGUGAGCUGUGUCCGAUGUGAAAGCCCCGGGCUUAACCUGGGAAUGGCAUUGGAAACUGGCUCGCUGGAGUGUGGCAGAUGGGGGUGGAAUUCCGCGUGUAGCAGUGAAAUGCGUAGAGAUGCGGAGGAACACCGAUGGCGAAGGCAGCCCCCUGGGCUAACACUGACGCUCAGGCACGAAAGCGUGGGGAGCAAACAGG